UUAGUUACCUUCGUAUUAAAAGAAUUGCCACAGAAUCACCAAGUAUACAGUUUACAAGUAACAAAUUACUAAAAAUUACUUCGCCAUCCUAUUUCAUAUAUCUAGUUUAAUUUGGCUAGGCCAAAAACACUGGAUAUUGUCAAAACUGCUUUUUAUGGUAAAGAUCGUCGUCCAAGUCGGCCUUCCAUUUGGCCGCCUGUUUCAUUUCUUCAUGCAUCUGGGGCGUAAUUUUAGAGGCAAAAAAUGCCAAAGGCACUAAAAAAUAAUUAAAUUACCUAAAAGCUAAGAAAAUUUAUAAACACGACUUACAAUUUGCCUGCUGAGCGCUACGACGCAAAAACGCGAUGGUGUCCGCAUCCAGAUUCAAUCUGCGGAUUUCUUCUGGAAGAUCGCUGUCCUCCGGAAUGGUGGAUGAAAUCUCGUUGCUUUGCUGGCUGGCCAUGUUGUUGGAAAUCUUGAAAUUGUAGACUGGAGAUGACUGACUGAAUUCAUUCUCACUAGCACAGACUUAUGAGGCGUCUGUUUAGCGUGUGUGCGUGUACGUCUGUGGCCAGAAAAAGUUCCUGGUGGCACUACGCACAUUUUUUCCGCACGAACUCCACCGUUAUUACAUGCGGGAUAGCGAUACUAUUAGGAACACCAUCUGACCACACACACAGCAUUGCGUG
Molecule: long non-coding RNA, 668 nt
Organism: Paramacrobiotus metropolitanus
Lineage: Eukaryota; Metazoa; Tardigrada; Eutardigrada; Parachela; Macrobiotidae
Exons: 3
Source: RefSeq, a predicted model, not a curated record